CCUGCCCUUGGGUCCGGCAUAACCCCGGGAAACUGGGGAUAAUUCCGGAUAACGCACAUAUGCUGGAAUGCUUUAUGCGUCAAAUGGAUUCGUCUGCCCAAGGAUGGGUCUGCGGCCUAUCAGGUAGUAGUGGGUGUAAUGUACCUACUAGCCGACGACGGGUACGGGUUGUGAGAGCAAGAGCCCGGAGAUGGAUUCUGAGACAUGAAUCCAGGCCCUACGGGGCGCAGCAGGCGCGAAAACUUUACAAUGCGGGAAACCGUGAUAAGGGGACACCGAGUGCCAGCAUCAUAUGCUGGCUGUCCGGGUGUGUAAAAUACACCUGUUAGCAAGGGCCGGGCAAGACCGGUGCCAGCCGCCGCGGUAACACCGGCGGCCCGAGUGGUGAUCGUGAUUAUUGGGUCUAAAGGGUCCGUAGCCGGUUUGGUCAGUCCUCCGGGAAAUCUGACGGCUUAACCGUUAGGCUUUCGGAGGAUACUGCCAGGCUUGGAACCGGGAGAGGUAAGAGGUACUACAGGGGUAGGAGUGAAAUCUUGUAAUCCCUGUGGGACCACCUGUGGCGAA
Molecule: ribosomal RNA, 564 nt
Filed under: Methanosarcina sp. enrichment culture clone A12
Lineage: Archaea; Methanobacteriati; Methanobacteriota; Methanomicrobia; Methanosarcinales; Methanosarcinaceae
Also listed under: 1 other name
Description: bacterial SSU rRNA
Rfam family: Archaeal small subunit ribosomal RNA
Source: RNAcentral